AUGCGGCACUCGAUCCUCUUCUCGCGAUGCGCUCCCGCUCCAUCCCCGCUGCCGCCGCCGCCCCCCACCACUCCCCUGUCUCCGGCUCAGCCACCUCCACCUCCACCACCCCCACCCUUCUCUCCAUCGCCCGCGGCACUCGAUCCGAUGCAGCGCCGAUCUGGCGGCGGGUGCGGCGUCUUGCUCCGGUGGCGACGGCGUCCUUAUGAUCCAAAGAAAGAGAGACAUGGAGUGAGGGAGCCCAACGCCACCGCAACGUCAAUGACCGCUCGCGCGUCUCAUUCACCUCCAAGCUUCGACGACGGCAGAUUAGCAGCCCCUGCGGCCGCGAUGACCCUGGAUCUACGGCCACAGCGGCGCCAGCGGCCCGGCCGGUGCAGGCCGCAACUAACCCUAGCUGCACUGGGAGUUCUCCAUCGGCUCGCCUUCCCCUCCGUCUCCGGUGGACAAACGCCUCUUCUUUCGCUCCGCCCUAGCUAUGGUAUAAGCUCCUCAAAACUCUGCUUUCUCUCAUGCGCUCGUGUGCCCACGGCCAUCCACCCGUGGCCAAUCAAUCUUACCCUGGCCAUCACGCCAUGGCAAGUUCUAGGAUUUUUGGCUUGUGCGGAUGCCCUGUCAUCCAAAGAUCUGUGCUUGUUGUGUCAUGUACGUAUAAUACAGUAG
This 663-nucleotide ribosomal RNA is filed under the name Triticum aestivum (bread wheat). RNAcentral describes it as "partial small subunit ribosomal RNA". The record is from RNAcentral. Lineage: Eukaryota; Viridiplantae; Streptophyta; Magnoliopsida; Poales; Poaceae.